CUACGGGAGGCACCAGUGAGGAAUAUUGCACAAUGGGGGGAACCCUGAUGCAGCAACGCCGCGUGGAGGAUGACGCAUUUCGGUGUGUAAACUCCUUUUAUAUGCCAAGAAAAUGACGGUAGCAUAUGAAUAAGCACCGGCUAACUCCGUGCCAGCAGCCGCGGUAAUACGGAGGGUGCAAGCGUUACUCGGAAUCACUGGGCGUAAAGGACGCGUAGGCGGGCUUGUAAGUCAGGUGUGAAAUCCUACAGCUUAACUGUAGAACUGCACUUGAAACUACGAGCCUAGAGUAUGGGAGGGGCAGAUGGAAUUAGUGGUGUAGGGGUAAGAUCCGUAGAUAUCACUAGGAAUACCUAAAGCGAAGGCGAUCUGCUGGAACAUAACUGACGCUAAGGCGUGAAAGCGUGGGGAGCAAACAGGAUUAGAUACCCCGGUAGUC
Molecule: ribosomal RNA, 439 nt
Filed under: uncultured bacterium
Lineage: Bacteria
Description: partial 16S ribosomal RNA
Rfam family: Bacterial small subunit ribosomal RNA
Source: RNAcentral